CUUUCUCCCUUUAACCGAACACUAGCUCUUUGUUGCUCAACAAAGAAGCGACGACGUUUUAAAAUUUUAAGAACUAUCUCGUUUUUUUGUUUUGUAACUGUUUUGUUACAGGCAUCUCCAUUUUUAGUGCUUGUUGUUUAAGAGCGUGGCGCGUAGCUCCGCGGGAUCGAUCUCUUUGGUGCCAUUAUCGGGCCUGUAGUAGCCGGUUUUCGGAUCGGGCACCCAGGACACCUUCUCGGUUGACCGUGCAGACUCCUCUCCUGUUUUGUUCAACACGGCGCUGUUUCUCGAAGCUCCGGCUCUCCCCGCGCUCGAUACCACUCCUUGCGAUCCGGUUGCAUAUCCUCGUCUGUAAAUACACAAAUCACAUCCAGAUAAGAACCAGAGAUUAACACGUAAAAGCCAAACCUAAACGAAAAUCAUCACGAAGAGACAUGAAAACUCGAUAACUCACCUAAAGACGGCGGUUGAUAUUCCAUCGGCGAAGAAAACAGAGAAAACCUUAGCGUUUGAGAAAGAGCGAGCCAUUUCAAACUACUUUAACAGAGUUUUCAGGUCCAAAGCGCAGAAAGAAGAAGAACUUGACACCGCUACACAGAAACUUCGCUUCAGAUUGC
RNAcentral lists this long non-coding RNA (617 nucleotides) under Carica papaya (papaya). RNAcentral describes it as "long non-coding RNA (CPAP_LNC012073)". The record is from RNAcentral. Lineage: Eukaryota; Viridiplantae; Streptophyta; Magnoliopsida; Brassicales; Caricaceae.